CAAUAUAAGUGAUGGCGACCGGCGCACGGGUGAGUAACACGUAUCCAACCUGCCGAUAACUCGGGGAUAGCCUUUCGAAAGAAAGACUAAUACCCGAUGGUAUAAUAAAACCGCAUGGUUUAAUUAUUAAAGAAUUUCGGUUAUCGAUGGGGAUGCGUUCCAUUAGGCAGUUGGUGAGGUAACGGCUCACCAAACCUUCGAUGGAUAGGGGUUCUGAGAGGAAGGUCCCCCACAUUGGAACUGAGACACGGUCCAA
Molecule: ribosomal RNA, 256 nt
Filed under: uncultured bacterium
Lineage: Bacteria
Description: partial 16S ribosomal RNA
Rfam family: Bacterial small subunit ribosomal RNA
Source: RNAcentral